RNAcentral lists this ribosomal RNA (1264 nucleotides) under uncultured bacterium. RNAcentral's name for it is "bacterial SSU rRNA". It matches the Rfam family "Bacterial small subunit ribosomal RNA", at positions 86 to 1354 of the family's 1533-position model. The record is from RNAcentral.
UGGUGGCGAGUGGCGAACGGGUGAGUAAUACAUCGGAACGUGUCCUGUAGUGGGGGAUAGCCCGGCGAAAGCCGGAUUAAUACCGCAUACGAUCUGUGGAUGAAAGCGGGGGAUCUUAGGACCUCGCGCUACAGGGGCGGCCGAUGGCAGAUUAGCUAGUUGGUGGGGUAAAGGCCUACCAAGGCGACGAUCUGUAGCUGGUCUGAGAGGACGACCAGCCACACUGGGACUGAGACACGGCCCAGACUCCUACGGGAGGCAGCAGUGGGGAAUUUUGGACAAUGGGCGCAAGCCUGAUCCAGCAAUGCCGCGUGUGUGAAGAAGGCCUUCGGGUUGUAAAGCACUUUUGUCCGGAAAGAAAACCUCUGGGUUAAUACCCUGGGGGGAUGACGGUACCGGAAGAAUAAGCACCGGCUAACUACGUGCCAGCAGCCGCGGUAAUACGUAGGGUGCAAGCGUUAAUCGGAAUUACUGGGCGUAGCGUGCGCAGGCGGUUCGCUAAGACAGAUGUGAAAUCCCCGGGCUUAACCUGGGAACUGCAUUUGUGACUGGCGGGCUAGAGUAUGGGAGAGGGGGGUAGAAUUCCACGUGUAGCAGUGAAAUGCGUAGAGAUGUGGAGGAAUACCGAUGGCGAAGGCAGCCCCCUGGGCCAAUACUGACGCUCAUGCACGAAAAGAUGGGGAGCAAACAGGAUUAGAUACCCUGGUAGUCCACGCCCUAAACGAUGUCAACUAGUUGUCGGGUCUUCAUUGACUUGGUAACGUAGCUAACGCGUGAAGUUGACCGCCUGGGGAGUACGGUCGCAAGAUUAAAACUCAAAGGAAUUGACGGGGACCCGCACAAGCGGUGGAUGAUGUGGAUUAAUUCGAUGCAACGCGAAAAACCUUACCUACCCUUGACAUGUAUGGAACCUGGCUGAGAGGUCGGGGUGCCCGAAAGGGAGCCAUAACACAGGUGCUGCAUGGCUGUCGUCAGCUCGUGUCGUGAGAUGUUGGGUUAAGUCCCGCAACGAGCGCAACCCUUGUCCCUAGUUGCUACGCAAGAGCACUCUAGGGAGACUGCCGGUGACAAACCGGAGGAAGGUGGGGAUGACGUCAAGUCCUCAUGGCCCUUAUGGGUAGGGCUUCACACGUCAUACAAUGGUCGGAACAGAGGGUCGCCAACCCGCGAGGGGGAGCCAAUCCCAGAAAACCGAUCGUAGUCCGGAUCGCACUCUGCAACUCGAGUGCGUGAAGCUGGAAUCGCUAGUAAUCGCGGAUCAGCA